UACGGGGGGGGCAAGCGUUGUUCGGAAUUACUGGGCGUAAAGGGCUCGUAGGCGGCCAACUAAGUCGGAUGUGAAAUCCCCAGGCUUAACCUGGGAAUUGCAUCCGAUACUGGAUGGCUUGAAUCCGGGAGAGGGAUGCGGAAUUCCAGGUGUAGCGGUGAAAUGCGUAGAUAUCUGGAGGGACACCGGUGGCGAAGGCGGCAUCCUGGACCGGCAUUGACGCUGAGGAGCGAAAGCCAGGGGAGCAAACGGG
This 253-nucleotide ribosomal RNA is filed under the name uncultured bacterium. Its description in RNAcentral is "partial 16S ribosomal RNA". It matches the Rfam family "Bacterial small subunit ribosomal RNA", at positions 524 to 776 of the family's 1533-position model. The record is from RNAcentral.